RNAcentral lists this unclassified non-coding RNA (569 nucleotides) under Hevea brasiliensis (rubber tree). The record is from RNAcentral. Lineage: Eukaryota; Viridiplantae; Streptophyta; Magnoliopsida; Malpighiales; Euphorbiaceae.
GUUUUGGGCUGAGCGUUUUGGCAAACAGUUUCUAGGCAUGACUGAUUUGUGGGUCAAACACUGUGGGAUUAGCCAUACUGGUAGUUUUAAGGAUCUUGGGAUGACUGUUUUGGUGAGUCAAGUUAAUCGGUUGCGCAAAAUGCAUAAACCGGUCGUCGGUGUGGGGUGUGCUUCUACUGGAGACACAUCUGCGGCCCUGUCGGCUUACUGUGCAUCUGCAGGCAUUCCAUCAAUUGUGUUUUUACCUGCAAAUAAGAUAUCUAUGGCGCAACUGGUUCAACCAAUAGCCAAUGGGGCCUUUGUGUUGAGUAUCGACACUGAUUUUGAUGGUUGUAUGCAGUUGAUUCGCGAAGUCACAGCUGAGUUGCCAAUUUACUUGGCUAAUUCCUUAAACAGUUUGAGGCUAGAAGGACAAAAGACUGCAGCAAUAGAGAUACUGCAGCAGUUUGAAUGGGAAGUUCCAGACUGGGUGAUAGUUCCCGGUGGUAACCUGGGCAAUAUAUAUGCAUUUUACAAAGGUUUCCACAUGUGCAAGGAGCUGGGGCUUGUUGAUCGUAUCCCAAGACUUG